Molecule: ribosomal RNA, 301 nt
Filed under: uncultured bacterium
Lineage: Bacteria
Description: partial 16S ribosomal RNA
Rfam family: Bacterial small subunit ribosomal RNA
Source: RNAcentral
CAGCCGCCACGGGAAUACAGAGGGUGCGAGCGUUAAUCGGAUUUACUGGGCGUAAAGCGUGCUUAGGCGGCUUCUUAAGUCGGAUGUGAAAUCCCUGAGCUUAACUUAGGAAUUGCAUUCGAUACUGGGAAGCUAGAGUAUGGGAGAGGAUGGUAGAAUUCCAGGUGUAGCGGUGAAAUGCGUAGAGAUCUGGAGGAAUACCGAUGGCGAAGGCAGCCAUCUGGCCUAAUACUGACGCUGAGGUACGAAAGCAUGGGGAGCAAACAGGAUUAGAUACCCGCGUAGUCCCUGUCUCUUAUAC